GGGUUAACUAGAUCAGAUCUACAGCUGGUCUAUGGGUUAACUAGAUCAGGUCUAUGGGUUAACUAGAUCAGGUCUAUGGGUUAACUAGAUCAGAUCUACAGCAGGUCUAUGGGUUAACUAGAUCAGAUCUACAUCAGGUCUAUGGGUUAACUAGAUCAGGUCUAUGGGUUAACUAGAUCAGAUCUACAGCAGGUCUAUGGGUUAACUAGAUCAGAUCUACAGCAGGUCUACGGGUUAACUAGAUCAGAUCUACAUCAGGUCUAUGGGUUAACUAGAUCAGGUCUAUGGGUUAACUAGAUCAGAUCUACAUCAGGUCUAUGGGUUAACUAGAUCAGAUCUACAGCAGGUCUAUGGGUUAACUAGAUCAGAUCUACAGCAGGUCUAUGGGUUAACUAGAUCAGAUCUACAGCAGGUCUAUGGGUUAACUAGAUCAGAUCUACAGCUGGUCUAUGGGUUAACUAGAUCAGGUCUAUGGGUUAACUAGAUCAGAUCUACAGCAGGUCUAUGGGUUAACUAGAUCAGAUCUACAUCAGGUCUAUGGGUUAACUAGAUCAGGUCUAUGGGUUAACUAGAUCAGAUCUACAGCAGGUCUAUGGGUUAACUAGAUCAGAUCUACAGCAGGUCUAUGGGUUAACUAGAUCAGAUCUACAGCAGGUCUAUGGGUUAACUAGAUCAGAUCUACAGCAGGUCUAUGGGUUAACUAGAUCAGAUCUACAGCAGGUCUAUGGGUUAACUAGAUCA
Molecule: long non-coding RNA, 741 nt
Organism: Oncorhynchus keta (chum salmon)
Lineage: Eukaryota; Metazoa; Chordata; Actinopteri; Salmoniformes; Salmonidae
Exons: 6
Source: RefSeq, a predicted model, not a curated record